Molecule: ribosomal RNA, 2871 nt
Filed under: Thermosynechococcus sp. Uc
Lineage: Bacteria; Bacillati; Cyanobacteriota; Cyanophyceae; Acaryochloridales; Thermosynechococcaceae
Description: 23S ribosomal RNA
Rfam family: Bacterial large subunit ribosomal RNA
Source: RNAcentral
GGUCAAGCUACAAAGAGCCUACGGUGGAUACCUAGGCACACAGAGGCGAUGAAGGACGUGGAUACCGACGAUACGCUUCGGGGAGCUGGAAACAAGCUUUGAUCCGGAGGUUUCCGAAUGGGGUAACCCAGUAACUCUAACGCCAAUCCAUAACGUUAGAGGGCGAACCUGGCGAACUGAAACAUCUUAGUAGCCAGAGGAAAAGAAAGAAAACUCGAUUCCCUUAGUAGCGGCGAGCGAAAGGGGAACAGCCUAAACCAACAGGCUUGCCUGUUGGGGUCGUGGGACAGCAACGUGGAAUUGAGCGGCUAGACGAAGUAGUGGAAUGCUACACCAGAGAAGGUGAAAGUCCUGUAGUCGAAAGCCUAACAAUCCUAGCUGUAUCCCGAGUAGUCCGGAACACGUGGAAUUCCGGAUGAAUCCGCGAGGACCACCUCGUAAGGCUAAAUACUCCUGUGUGACCGAUAGCGCAUAGUACCGCGAGGGAAAGGUGAAAAGAACCCCGGAAGGGGAGUGAAAUAGAACAUGAAACCGUAGGCUUACAAGCAGUCGAAGCUCGAUUUAACGAGUGACGGCGUGCCUGUUGAAGAAUGAGCCGGCGACUUAUAGGUACUGGCAGGUUAAGGCAAGAAUGCUGAAGCCAUAGCGAAAGCGAGUCUGAAUAGGGCGUUUGUCAGUAUCUAUAGACCCGAACCCGGGUGAUCUAACCAUGGCCAGAAUGAAGCUUGGGUAACACCAAGUGAAGGUUCGCACCGACCGAUGUUGAAAAAUCGGCGGAUGAGCUGUGGUUAGGGGUGAAAUGCCAAUCGAACCCGGAGCUAGCUGGUUCUCCCCGAAAUAUGUUGAGGCAUAGCGGUUGUGACUAUAGCAGGGGGGUAAAGCACUGAUUCGGUGCGGGCUGCGAGAGCGGUACCAAAUCGAGUCAAACUCUGAAUACCCUGUGUACACACAGCCAGUCAGACGGUGGGGGAUAAGCUUCAUCGUCGAGAGGGAAACAGCCCAGACCACCAGCUAAGGUCCCUAAAUCAUCACUAAGUGGCAAAGGAGGUGGGGAUGCUCAGACAACCAGGAGGUUUGCCUAGAAGCAGCAAUCCUUAAAAGAGUGCGUAAUAGCUCACUGGUCAAGCGUUCCUGCGCCGAAAAUGAACGGGACUAAGUGAUGUACCGAAGCUGUGGACUUACUCCGUAAGUGGUAGGGGAGCGUUCUGCACUAGGUUGAAGCACUAGCGUAAGCAGGUGUGGACGAAGCAGAAGUGAGAAUGUCGGCUUGAGUAGCGAAAACAUUGGUGAGAAUCCAAUGCCCCGAAACCCCAAGGGUUCCUUCGGAAGGCUCGUCCGCGAAGGGUUAGUCGGGACCUAAGGCGAGGCCGAAAGGCGUAGUCGAUGGACAACUGGUCAAUAUUCCAGUACUCAUCUUGGUUUGUGCAGAGGGACGGAGAAGGCUAAAUCAGCCGGAUGUUGGUUACCGGUUCAACUGUCCGAGGUGUUGAGGAGCGGCGAAAACGCUCUGAGCUGAGGCAGGAGUACGACCCACCACGGUGGGGAAGUGAUUGACGUCAUGCUUCCAAGAAAAGCUCUAAGCACGUUAAACCAAGAUACCCGUACCCGAAACCGACACAGGUGGGGGGGUAGAGUAUACCAAGGGGCGCGAGAUAACUCUCUCUAAGGAACUCGGCAAAAUGGCCCCGUAACUUCGGGAGAAGGGGUGCCACCGCAAGGUGGUCGCAGUGAAGAGGCCCAGGCGACUGUUUACCAAAAACACAGGUCUCCGCUAAGUCGUAAGACGAUGUAUGGGGGCUGACGCCUGCCCAGUGCCGGAAGGUUAAGGAAGUCGGUCAGCGCAAGCGAAGCUGGCGACCGAAGCCCCGGUGAACGGCGGCCGUAACUAUAACGGUCCUAAGGUAGCGAAAUUCCUUGUCGGGUAAGUUCCGACCCGCACGAAAGGCGUAACGAUCUGGGCGCUGUCUCGGAGAGAGGCUCGGCGAAAUAGAAGUGUCUGUGAAGAUGCGGACUACCUGCACCCGGACAGAAAGACCCUAUGAAGCUUUACUGUAGCCUGGAAUUGAGUUCGGGCUUUGCUUGCGCAGGAUAGGUGGGAGACGUUGAAGUAUCCCUUGCGGGGGAUACGGAGUCGCCAGUGAGAUACCACUCUGGCAAGGCUAGAAUUCUAACCUUCUGCUGUUAGCCAGCGAAGGAACAGUUUCAGGUGGGCAGUUUGCCUGGGGCGGUCGCCUCCUAAAUGGUAACGGAGGCGCGCAAAGGUUCCCUCAGGCUGGUCGGAAAUCAGCCGUAGAGUGCAAAGGCAUAAGGGAGCUUGACUGCAAGACCUACAAGUCGAGCAGAGACGAAAGUCGGCCUUAGUGAUCCGACGGUUCCGCGUGGAAGGGCCGUCGCUCAACGGAUAAAAGUUACUCUAGGGAUAACAGGCUGAUCUCCCCCAAGAGUUCACAUCGACGGGGAGGUUUGGCACCUCGAUGUCGGCUCAUCGCAACCUGGGGCGGUAGUACGUCCCAAGGGUUGGGCUGUUCGCCCAUUAAAGCGGUACGUGAGCUGGGUUCAGAACGUCGUGAGACAGUUCGGUCCAUAUCCGGUGCAGGCGUAGGAGCAUUGAGAGGACUCCUCCUUAGUACGAGAGGACCGGGAGGAACGCACCUCUGGUGUACCUGUUAUCGUGCCAACGGUAGACGCAGGGUAGCCAUGUGCGGAGUGGAUAACCGCUGAAAGCAUCUAAGUGGGAAGCCCACCUCAAGAUGAGUGCUCCCAUGGCAUAAGCCAGUAAGGUCACGGGUAGAACACCCGUUAAUAGGCUCUCGAUGGAAGUCCAGUAAUGGAUGAAGUCUAGGAGUACUAAUAGACCGAGGGCUUGACCUC